RNAcentral lists this ribosomal RNA (527 nucleotides) under uncultured bacterium. RNAcentral describes it as "bacterial SSU rRNA". It matches the Rfam family "Bacterial small subunit ribosomal RNA", at positions 8 to 524 of the family's 1533-position model. The record is from RNAcentral.
AGAGUUUGAUUAUGGCUCAGAUUGAACGCUGGCGGCAGGCCUAACACAUGCAAGUCGGGCGGUAGCACAGGGGAGCUUGCUCCCCGGGUGACGAGCGGCGGACGGGUGAGUAAUGUCUGGGGAUCUGCCUGAUGGAGGGGGAUAACUACUGGAAACGGUAGCUAAUACCGCGUAACGUCGCAAGACCAAAGCGGGGGACCUUCGGGCCUCGCGCCAUCAGAUGAACCCAGAUGGGAUUAGCUAGUAGGUGGGGUAAUGGCUCACCUAGGCGACGAUCCCUAGCUGGUCUGAGAGGAUGACCAGCCACACUGGGACUGAGACACGGCCCAGACUCCUACGGGAGGCAGCAGUGGGGAAUAUUGCACAAUGGGCGCAAGCCUGAUGCAGCCAUGCCGCGUGUAUGAAGAAGGCCUUCGGGUUGUAAAGCACUUUCAGUCGUGAGGAAGGUGGUGUUGUUAAUAGCAGCAUCAUUUGACGUUAGCGACAGAAGAAGCACCGGCUAACUCCGUGCCAGCAGCCGCGGUAAU